AGGAAGCGCUACAAAUUGAAUCAAAAAGUGAUGCGUGGUCUUUUUUAGAACCUUGAGUCGGGUAUGGCGUGGUCAUCGCGGCAACUCUCAACCAGUUUACUUCAAACUGUUGCUCUUUUGCAUGAUCAGACCUGAUGAAUCGGGUUGUUUGUAGAAGUGCAAGGUGUGCUGUCCAAGUGGAUUAACAUGGCAUGAUGAAUUGGGCUGUUCGUGGAAGUCCAGGGUGUACGGAGUUGUCGAAGUGGCUUAACAUGACAAGAUGAUUGGGGCUCCUUGUAGAAGCGCUGGGUGUGCAGAGGAGUCCAAGUGGAUUAACAUGACAUGAUGAAUUUGGACUGCUUGUAGAGUUGCAGCGUGUACAGAGGUGUUGAAGUGGCUUCACAUGAAGCCAGAGCUGAUGGGCACAUAAAGGCAUAUGAAGUUGGAAGUUCCAUCUACCAGAAUGUGAAACUGCCUAGGAUGUAGAUAAAAUUCACAUUUUAUUUAAAUGCAUGUAUUGAAUAAAAUAUGGAAUUGUA
This is a long non-coding RNA of Conger conger (European conger), 518 nucleotides long. RefSeq lists it as uncharacterized. The record is from RefSeq and is a predicted model, not a curated record. The transcript is spliced from 6 exons. NCBI's taxonomy places the organism in Eukaryota, Metazoa, Chordata, Actinopteri, Anguilliformes, Congridae.